CGGCCCACCAAGGCGACGAUCGGUAGCCGGACUGAGAGGUUGAACGGCCACAUUGGGACUGAGACACGGCCCAGACUCCUACGGGAGGCAGCAGUGGGGAAUAUUGCACAAUGGGGGAAACCCUGAUGCAGCGACGCCGCGUGGAGGAAGAAGGUCUUCGGAUUGUAAACUCCUGUUGUUGAGGAAGAUAAUGACGGUACUCAACAAGGAAGUGACGGCUAACUACGUGCCAGCAGCCGCGGUAAAACGUAGGUCACAAGCGUUGUCCGGAAUUACUGGGUGUAAAGGGAGCGCAGGCGGGAAGACAAGUUGGAAGUGAAAUCCAUGGGCUCAACCCAUGAACUGCUUUCAAAACUGUUUUUCUUGAGUAGUGCAGAGGUAGGCGGAGUUCCCGGUGUAGCGGUGGAAUGCGUAGAUAUCGGGAGGAACACCAGUGGCGAAGGCGGCCUACUGGGCACCAACUGACGCUGAGGCUCGAAAGUGUGGGUAGCAAACAGGAUUAGAUACCCUGGUAGUCCACACUGUAAACGAUGAUUACUAGGUGUUGGAGGAUUGACCCCUUCAGUGCCGCAGUUAACACAAUAAGUAAUCCACCUGGGGAGUACGACCGCAAGGUUGAAACUCAAAGGAAUUGACGGGGGCCCGCACAAGCAGUGGAGUAUGUGGUUUAAUUCGACGCAACGCGAAGAACCUUACCAAGUCUUGACAUCCUGCGACGGUGCUGGAAACAGUACUUUCCUUCGGGACGCAGAGACAGGUGGUGCAUGGUUGUCGUCAGCUCGUGUCGUGAGAUGUUGGGUUAAGUCCCGCAACGAGCGCAACCCUUAUGGUCAGUUACUACGCAAGAGGACUCUGGCCAGACUGCCGUUGACAAAACGGAGGAAGGUGGGGAUGACGUCAAAUCAUCAUGCCCUUUAUGACUUGGGCUACAUACGUACUACAAUGGCGUUAAACAAAGAGAAGCAAGACCGCGAGGUGGAGCAAAACUCAGAAACAACGUCCCAGUUCGGACUGCAGGCUGCAACUCGCCUGCACGAAGUCGGAAUUGCUAGUAAUCGCAGAUCAGCAUGCUGCGGUGAAUACGUUCCCGGGCCUUGUACACACCGCCCGUCACACCAUGAGAGCCGGGGGGACCCGAAGUCGGUAGUCUAACCGCAAGGAGGACGCCGCCGAAGGUAAAACUGGUGAUUGGGGUGAAGUCGUAACAAGGUAGCCGUACUAGUAC
This 1225-nucleotide ribosomal RNA is filed under the name metagenome. RNAcentral describes it as "bacterial SSU rRNA". It matches the Rfam family "Bacterial small subunit ribosomal RNA", at positions 261 to 1515 of the family's 1533-position model. The record is from RNAcentral.